AUGCGAUCCGUUGGGCAGCCAGAAAGGAGGGAGGGCCAGGUGACGCAGAGGGGAGGCUCUGCGGCGUGCAGGGUGCAGGGGCCUGUCCGGGGUAGCUGGUCGCCCGCGGGCCGGGAAGAUCGGGGUGGGGGGGGGGCGAGCUCCCGCGUCUGCGGGGUGCGGGAAGGGGGCCUCACCCGGACAAAGGCGGUCCCCGGGCGGCUGCCAGCGCGCGCUGCCCCCUGGUGGCGAGUCGCUCCUCUGCAGCCAGCAAGCGAGCCGUCCCUUUGUUUUCCUGCUGCAGCUCCUGCCAGGGUUUGCUGGGAAUUCUGGAAGGGCCUGCCAAUCCUCUGCAUCCUAUGGUGGAAGGAGAAGUGAGCACAGAGGGCACCCUGGUUUCUCAGAGGUUCAUCCUAACAACGCCAGACAUUUCACCGGUGAGAACCAGGCAUGGGGCCACCAGUGGGUGCAAGGCAGGCUGGGUAAUGUAGUCCCAGGCUGGUCAGCUGUCUCCCCAGAAAGGAGGGCACAUGUACCACUCCACAGGGGGAAGGCGG
This 536-nucleotide long non-coding RNA is filed under the name Felis catus (domestic cat). Its description in RNAcentral is "lncRNA (ENSFCAG00000045475.2)". The record is from RNAcentral. Lineage: Eukaryota; Metazoa; Chordata; Mammalia; Carnivora; Felidae.